AGACUAUAUAUAACACUGAGGCAAAAAUCUCCCCUUUGAAGGAUUGUUGGAAAAGGUCUUCCAUAGGUGACAAAAAGGCGAUUGUGACAGUGUCUACAUGAUACAAAAUGGGAGGUGAUGUGCCACGACACUAUAAGUCCAAUUCCUACAUCCUAUGGAACGGACUUCCUGAUGGGAUAGAAUCUGCUGGAAGAUCAACUAGUGGUCUAUUCUGGAGGCAACAGCAACCAUGACGUGUUGAUUCAGACACCACCACAAGACAGCAAAAACCAGAGUUAAAGGACUCAUCAGCCCAGGAAUGUAGACCAUCCAAAGAGAAGGAAAACUCU
Long non-coding RNA from Podarcis raffonei (Aeolian wall lizard), 329 nucleotides. RefSeq lists it as uncharacterized. The record is from RefSeq and is a predicted model, not a curated record. The transcript is spliced from 3 exons. NCBI's taxonomy places the organism in Eukaryota, Metazoa, Chordata, Lepidosauria, Squamata, Lacertidae.